CCCUUAGACGUUCUGGGCCGCACGCGCGCUACACUGACGAAGGCAACGAGCCUAUCCUUGACCGACAGGUCCGGGUAAUCUUUGAAUCUGCAUCGUGACGGGGAUAGAUUAUUGCAAUUAUUAAUCUUCAACGAGGAAUGCCUAGUAGGCGCAAGUCAUCAGCUUGCGUCGAUUACGUCCCUGCCCUUUGUACACACCGCCCGUCGCUCCUACCGAUUGGGUGUGCUGGUGAAAUGUUCGGAUCGGCCGUUUGUCGCGGUUUCCGCGUCAUGUGGCUGAGAAGUUCAUUAAACCCUCCCACCUAGAGGAAGGAGAAGUCGUAACA
This 325-nucleotide ribosomal RNA is filed under the name uncultured eukaryote. RNAcentral describes it as "partial 18S ribosomal RNA". It matches the Rfam family "Eukaryotic small subunit ribosomal RNA", at positions 1470 to 1796 of the family's 1831-position model. The record is from RNAcentral.